This 517-nucleotide ribosomal RNA is filed under the name uncultured microorganism. RNAcentral describes it as "bacterial SSU rRNA". It matches the Rfam family "Bacterial small subunit ribosomal RNA", at positions 250 to 783 of the family's 1533-position model. The record is from RNAcentral.
UGGUGAGGUAAUGGCUCACCAAGGCGAUGAUCAGUAGCCGACCUGAGAGGGUGACCGGCCACACUGGAACUGAGACACGGUCCAGACUCCUACGGGAGGCAGCAGUGGGGAAUAUUGCACAAUGGGGGAAACCCUGAUGCAGCAACGCCGCGUGAGCGAUGAAGGCCUUCGGGUCGUAAAGCUCUGUCCUAUGGGAAGAAGAAGUGACGGUACCAUAGGAGGAAGCCCCGGCUAACUACGUGCCAGCAGCCGCGGUAAUACGUAGGGGGCAAGCGUUAUCCGGAAUCACUGGGCGUAAAGGGUGCGUAGGCGGCUAAGUAAGUCAGGGGUGAAAGGCAUUGGCUCAACCAAUGUAAGCCUUUGAAACUGCUUAGCUUGAGUGCAGGAGAGGUAAGUGGAAUUCCUAGUGUAGCGGUGAAAUGCGUAGAUAUUAGGAGGAACACCAGUGGCGAAGGCGACUUACUGGACUGUAACUGACGCUGAGGCACGAAAGCGUGGGGAGCAAACAGGAUUAGAU